Molecule: long non-coding RNA, 295 nt
Filed under: Vigna radiata
Lineage: Eukaryota; Viridiplantae; Streptophyta; Magnoliopsida; Fabales; Fabaceae
Description: long non-coding RNA (VRAD_LNC016775)
Source: RNAcentral
CGAGGGGUCAGAAACUGGUUUAACAAAAAAUUUAGGCCAACUGAUAAACGACUUAAAUGCUUGUUCCACAGUGAAAAUCUCUUCCGUGGACAGAGGAACCGGGGCAUCUGGUAUGAUCAUUUCAUCCACUGAGACCUUCACCUCAUCCUCUAAUAGUUGCAUACCAUGACAUACAGUCGCUGACCUAAACUCUGUUCCACGAUCUACCAGCACCAUCUCAGUAUCCUCUAAAAUGUAUAGCAGACAUGGACUACCAUCGUCCAUGUCAUCCUCUGGGAUGGCUGCUGCGGAACAA